GGGAAGGGGUGACUAGUGACAGAGUGAGGGAAGGGGUGACUUGUGGCAGAGUGAGGGAAGGAAGGCGUGACUAGUAACAGAGUGAGGGAGGUGGUGACUGUCACUAGUCACCAGCUCCCUCACUCUGUCACUAGUCACCACCUCCCUCUGUCACUACUCCCUCCCUCCUUCUGUCACUAGUCACCCCCUCCCUCACUCUGUCACCAGUCAUCCCCUCCCUCUGUCACUAGUCACCCCCUCACUC
RNAcentral lists this small RNA (244 nucleotides) under Pelobates cultripes (western spadefoot toad). The record is from RNAcentral. Lineage: Eukaryota; Metazoa; Chordata; Amphibia; Anura; Pelobatidae.